RNAcentral lists this microRNA (22 nucleotides) under Capitella teleta. Its description in RNAcentral is "Cte-Mir-1989_3p (mature (co-guide))". The record is from RNAcentral. Lineage: Eukaryota; Metazoa; Annelida; Polychaeta; Capitellidae.
GAGGGCGUCAUAACUGUUGACC